This 448-nucleotide ribosomal RNA is filed under the name uncultured bacterium. RNAcentral describes it as "bacterial SSU rRNA". It matches the Rfam family "Bacterial small subunit ribosomal RNA", at positions 329 to 794 of the family's 1533-position model. The record is from RNAcentral.
GUCCAGACUCCUACGGGAGGCAGCAGUGGGGAAUAUUGCACAAUGGGGGAAACCCUGAUGCAGCGACGCCGCGUGAAGGAUGAAGUAUUUCGGUAUGUAAACUUCUAUCAGCAGGGAAGAAAAUGACGGUACCUGACUAAGAAGCCCCGGCUAACUACGUGCCAGCAGCCGCGGUAAUACGUAGGGGGCAAGCGUUAUCCGGAUUUACUGGGUGUAAAGGGAGCGUAGACGGCAUGGCAAGUCAGAUGUGAAAGCCCGGGGCUCAACCCCGGGACUGCAUUUGAAACUGUCAGGCUGGAGUGCAGGAGAGGUAAGUGGAAUUCCUAGUGUAGCGGUGAAAUGCGUAGAUAUUAGGAGGACCACCAGUGGCGAAGGCGGCUUACUGGACUGUAACUGACGUUGAGGCUCUAAAGCGUGGGGAGCAAACAGGAUUAGAUACCCUAGUACC